GAUGAACGCUGGCGGCGUGCCUAAUACAUGCAAGUCGAGCGAACGGACGAGGAGCUUGCUGGGCGGAUGUUGGCGGCGGACGGGUGAGUAACACGUGGAUAAUCUACCUAUCAGAGUGGGAUAACCUCGGGAAACCGGAGCUAAUACCGGAUAAUAUUUUGAACCACAGGGUUCAAAGGUGAAAUACGGCCUUGCUGGCACUUAUAGAUGGAUCCGCGCUGCAUUGGCUAGUUGGUAGGGUAACGGCUUACCAAGGGAACGAUGCGUAGCCGACCUGACGGGGGGAUCGGCGACACGGGAACUGGGCCACGGUCAAGACUCCUACGGGAGGGAGCAGUAGGGUACGUUCGGCAAUGGGCGAAAGUCUGACGGAGCAACGCCGCGUGAGUGAUGAAGGCGUUCGGAUCGUAAAACUGUGUUAUUAGGUAAGAACAGAUGUGUAAUUAACUGUGCACAUAGUGACGGUACCUAAUCAGAAAGCAACGGCUAACUACGUG
Molecule: ribosomal RNA, 497 nt
Filed under: uncultured bacterium
Lineage: Bacteria
Description: partial 16S ribosomal RNA
Rfam family: Bacterial small subunit ribosomal RNA
Source: RNAcentral